Molecule: ribosomal RNA, 509 nt
Filed under: uncultured bacterium
Lineage: Bacteria
Description: bacterial SSU rRNA
Rfam family: Bacterial small subunit ribosomal RNA
Source: RNAcentral
GACGAACGCUGGCGGCGUGCCUAAUACAUGCAAGUCGAACGCACUCUCGUUUAGAUUGAAGGAGCUUGCUCCUGAUUGAUAAACAUUUGAGUGAGUGGCGGACGGGUGAGUAACACGUGGGUAACCUGCCCUAAAGUGGGGGAUAACAUUUGGAAACAGAUGCUAAUACCGCAUAAAACCUAACACCGCAUGGUGUAGGGUUGAAAGAUGGUUUCGGCUAUCACUUUAGGAUGGACCCGCGGUGCAUUAGUUAGUUGGUGAGGUAAAGGCUCACCAAGACCGUGAUGCAUAGCCGACCUGAGAGGGUAAUCGGCCACACUGGGACUGAGACACGGCCCAGACUCCUACGGGAGGCAGCAGUUAGGGAAUCUUCCACAAUGGACGAAAGUCUGAUGGAGCAACGCCGCGUGAGUGAGAAAGGUUUUCGGAUCGUAAAACUCUGUUGUUGGAGAAGAAAUGUAACUCUGAUAGUAACUGAUCAGGUAAGUGACGGUAAUCCAACCAGAAAG